Molecule: long non-coding RNA, 1193 nt
Filed under: Fragaria vesca (wild strawberry)
Lineage: Eukaryota; Viridiplantae; Streptophyta; Magnoliopsida; Rosales; Rosaceae
Description: long non-coding RNA (FVES_LNC004667)
Source: RNAcentral
CCUCCCAGCAACAUUUCUAGACCGGUGACAGCCCCCUAGCGCCGCCGUGAGUGAGCGGUGCCGCCCGAAAGAACCGACUGCCCCGAGCUUCCCUUCGCCGGAACUUCCUCCUCCGGCCACCAAUCCGGGCAAGCUUGGUACGGUUUUGUAGCCCUCCUCCCGUGCAACAACCCCUCCAAGCAGCUCCCUCCCUCUUGAGCUAGGUAAGGAGAAAUGUGGAGUUGAAAUUUCUAGGCUUUUAAGUUAUUUUCGUUCGAUUAGCCUAGUUAGGCUUGGAAUUGGGUGAUGUGUUGGUCAUGAAAGUUGUAGAGGAGAUUGAGAGGAAGAUUCUGUUAAAAUUUGGUAGUAUUUGCAGGUCGCCGGAAAACGGCUGCCGGCCGCCGCCGGUUAGGAGAAUUUUAUGGUUUUUGAUGUAGAAUAUUAAGGGGAUAUUAUUGAAGUGAAUUUUGGAAUUUUUGGAUGAGAUUUGGAUAGGUUUGUGAAUUUCCGAAGUGUGGUAUUUUUGGCGGGUAAUUAAUGUAGAAUCCGGCCGUUGGAUUUAAGUCGUAUUUUGGGGAGGUUGUAUUUACGACUAUUGAGUAUGAUAUUUAAGUUCGGAUCGUUCCGAUGUAAGAAUAUCGAAGUUAGGCAAUCAUGAGCGUAAUUAUGGCUCUCGGGUAAUUUUGCCUAUUUUGAUUAAAUAUUGGAUUAUUGGUUGGGAAAUUAAUAUUUUAUUUGGAACAGGACGUGAGGAGGCUCGAGCAGACGAGACCCCAGAUCGACAGCAGGCUUAGGCCUAAUUUGUGAGUGGACUUUUGUUUUAAAUAAAUGCAUGCUAAGUUCACGAUUGAAUAAUUAAUGUCGUAGAGUAUUUUACCGUCAAUUAAUUUUGACGCUUUUAUUUCUCUGAGAGAGAGUUACCGAAAAUAGGAUUUUCGGUGAAUAUAAAUAUGUAUAUAUGAGAGAGUAUGUAUAAAAAAAAUGCUAGCUAGCCAUAUGUGUCUGUCCACCUUAAUGGCGUAGCAUAUAGCCGCAUUAUGGUGUGACGUGAGCGUUGGACGUAAGCGUAGUAGCCCUAUUUGAGUGUUUAAUUCAUAUAGGGGGUAUGGACACAUAUUUAUACACCCGUCUAUCCACCUUGAUGGCGUAGUGUAGCACCGCAUUAAGGCGUGACGUGAGCGUUGGACGCGAGCGUAGUAGCCCUAUAUAGACCC